RNAcentral lists this long non-coding RNA (252 nucleotides) under Brachypodium distachyon (stiff brome). RNAcentral describes it as "long non-coding RNA (BDIS_LNC004438)". The record is from RNAcentral. Lineage: Eukaryota; Viridiplantae; Streptophyta; Magnoliopsida; Poales; Poaceae.
GAGGACCCAGUAGGGCAAGGUAGGCCGGCGGCCCUACCUUGAUUUUUGCCUCAGUUACGGAUUGGGGAAGAUUAUGAAACGGGGAGCUAAAGGGCGGAAUCCGUUCGUGGUGUGAUGGGAGGAGAAACGGUCGGGAGCGAGAGAAUCGAAGGGGAGAUCAACCUGCGGUGGAGGCGCUCGCGCGAGGAGGAAGACGAUGGGCGCUCGGCAGCGUGAUGGGUGGCGGCGCUCGGCCGAGGAGGAAGAAGAUCC